Molecule: long non-coding RNA, 243 nt
Filed under: Gallus gallus (chicken)
Lineage: Eukaryota; Metazoa; Chordata; Aves; Galliformes; Phasianidae
Source: RNAcentral
CGAUUUCUCUCUGAAGAGAAUAUUUCUCUUGUUCAAAUUUCUCAGUCUUCUCCGUUAAUUCACGACGCAUUUGAUCCAACUGAUUUUGAAUUUCAUUUUGAGACUCCAGUAAGUGUAAGCCAUAUUGUGCAGCCUUUCUUCGCUCAUUCUCUGCUUCUUUCAGUUGCUGUCUAAGAUUUAAAAUGGUCUCUGUCUCCAUUUUUUCUUCCUUUUAUUACCUUCAGAAGUCCAUUUAAGCUUCAC